This 1185-nucleotide long non-coding RNA is filed under the name Cairina moschata (Muscovy duck). RNAcentral describes it as "domestica (muscovy Duck (domestic type)) lncRNA (ENSCMMG00000002246.1)". Lineage: Eukaryota; Metazoa; Chordata; Aves; Anseriformes; Anatidae. The record is from RNAcentral.
AUGAAGUCAUUACUGGCGGGUCCCUUCCCGAAGCAGGCCCUGCUGGUGCAGAUUCUUCCAUCCCGAUGCAGCAGCGCAGGGGCAGAGGCAGCGAGUGGUCGAGAGACAGCAGAAAACUCAGGUGCAGCUUCUAUUCUAGGGGCCCAAGCUGGGUUUGCGCGGCCAACCCAAAGCCAAGCGAGCAUCCUGGAGAGCAAGGACGGGCAUCUACUCCUCCUUGGCCCACACAGAGCCGCCGGCCUGCCCCUCCAGGUGGGGGAUCACGGCCUCGGUGUAGAACUUCUCCAGCUUGGGCACCGUCUGCCCCCAGAACUCGUCAUCGAACUCGACGGGGGCCACGGCCGUCUCCUUCUUGGUGUGCACCACGAAGUCGGCCUUCCGCAUGCCGGCGGCCGCCAUCUGGCACUGCACCUGGGUGAAGUAGUCGUGGUCCCGCUUCAGCGCGUAGGAGUCGCCGUCCACCCGCAGGCAGAAGUCCCGGUCCUUGCAGGCCUCCCGCACCGUCCUGUUGCGGUGCUUGUAGGGGCACUUCACCUCCAGCAGCCCCAGCGGCUUCCCCGUGUCCGCCUCGGUGACGACGCCGUCGGGGCUGGCGGCGAUCCACGUCUUCUCCUUGUGGAUGAAGAGGCCGCAGUCCUCCACCCGCACCGGCCGGCCCACCUCCCGCGACUUGAGCUCCUCGUAGGCCCGCACGGCCGCCUUCUCGUUGCGGAUGCCCCACGACAUGGCUGGCGUCUGCGCUGUGGGGCCGGGGCUCACCACCGCCUUCAGGUACGACCGCGGCACCUCGUCCGUCCGCCCGUUGGCGAACUUGCUGCCGGCGAUGCGGGGCGCCACCGAGGCCGUGAUGCGGUUCUCCCUCCACUCGUACCACUUGGGGUUGUUGCGUUGGCCCCGCGUCUCCUUCUCCACCCGGGGGAUGUCCUGGCUGUCCAGGGGGGGCAGGAACCGAGACGAAGCCUUGCCGGGGCACGGCUCAGCCUUCGCUUGGCCUUCGGCUCCUUUGGCUGCCGUCGUCUUCCUCGUGCUGGCGGAGGAGCCCCCGCCGGCCGCUCCACGCUGCUCCCCGGCAUCGCCUCGCGCCCCGCGGGAUGCCGCCGCCGUGGAUUUUGGCUGGGACGAGCUGGGCUUCGCCUCCUGGCUCCGUCCGGCCACCGGCGUGCUCCUGGAGGCACGGGCGGCCGA